UAGGGAAUCUUCCGCAAUGGACGCAAGUCUGACGGAGCAACGCCGCGUGAGUGAAGAAGGAUUUCGGUUCGUAAAACUCUGUUGUUAGAGAAGAACAGCGCAUAGAGUAACUGUUAUGCGUGUGACGGUAUCUAACCAGAAAGCCACGGCUAACUACGUGCCAGCAGCCGCGGUAAUACGUAGGUGGCAAGCGUUGUCCGGAUUCAUUGGGCGUAAAGCGAGCGCAGGCGGUCAAUUAAGUCUGAUGUGAAAGCCCCCGGCUCAACCAGGGAGGGUCAUUGGAAACUGGUUGACUUGAGUGCAGCAGAGGAGAGUGGAAUUCCAUGUGUAGCAGUGAAAUGCGUAGAUAUAUGGAGGAACACCAGUGGCGAAGGCGACGCUCUGGACUGUAACUGACGCUGAGGCUCGAAAGCGUGGGUAGCAAACAGG
RNAcentral lists this ribosomal RNA (429 nucleotides) under Bacteroidota bacterium. RNAcentral's name for it is "Bacteroidetes bacterium partial 16S ribosomal RNA". It matches the Rfam family "Bacterial small subunit ribosomal RNA", at positions 355 to 776 of the family's 1533-position model. Lineage: Bacteria; Pseudomonadati; Bacteroidota. The record is from RNAcentral.